Long non-coding RNA from Sebastes umbrosus (honeycomb rockfish), 1296 nucleotides. RefSeq lists it as uncharacterized. The record is from RefSeq and is a predicted model, not a curated record. Lineage: Eukaryota; Metazoa; Chordata; Actinopteri; Perciformes; Sebastidae. The transcript has 4 exons.
AAUGCAACAGUCAUAAAUUCAUCAAAGAAGAAGAAGAAUGAACACAGGUGCAUUCUGGGUGUGGCUAACAUGCUAACAUCCCAGUGCUAACAUGCUGAAAAUGCUCAUGGCGGAUCUCUAGCUGAUUUUUGCGUUCAGUUAGGAACUUUUAACUUCACUGUGGUGUGUGAGGACUUUAUGUUCCACAUGUUUGAACACUUUUGAGGAGCGCAGUUCAGUUCACAGACAGAAGAAUCAUCUUACCUUCAUCUCUUUUCCUCUUUUCACCGUUGGAUCGUGGAAUACCCAGAAUCCCGUUGAUGGAGUAGGAUCCUGCAGGGUCGUUGGAGGCGCUGGUUACAGGCGGAGAGGCUGUGCUUGGUACUGGGAAAAGGACAGAAAAAUUAGCUUUGCAAUGAAAACAUGCAUGUUCAGUAUGUAUGUAUUCUCAAGCUGAUGCUUAUGCUGUGAGCUUACCUAUAGUAUGGCCAGGUGUGGACAGGGACGACCCAUCAGGAGACGGAUGGAAAGGCUGCUGGACUUUUGUUCGGAUGAUCCUGGUGGAACAAAGGAGAAGUUAGUGCUGCUUUUCUAUCACCAACUUCCUUGAGACACCCCUAACAUCAUGGAGAUAUCGUGUGAUUAAGAUAUCAACUCAUACGCAAGAAGGGAUCAGCGGCUCUACCUUUUUUAUAAAGCAGAGUGUACCUGUCUGCGGGGCUUGUCCGGAGACUGUUCACCCACCUGCCCAGGAUCUUGCUGACGCAGCCGUGGCUGACCCGCAGCUGUCUGGAGAUGUCGCAGGGCCGGACGCCCUGGUGGGCGAGCUCCACGAUCCGCUGCCUCACCACGUCCGGGAGGGGUCUGCCGUUCACAAACACCCCGCCGAGCUGGUUCACACCUCCGUGCCCUACGUGGGACACAACAGCCAGAAACAAACACAAGCGUAACAUUACAUAAAGCAGUGGCGAUGGAGGAGGAGGACGCAUGCUGCGGAAAAGCUGGAGGCUGAUACACGUGUAAAUUAAGAGUACCUGCAUGUUCUUUGUUUACUAUGACAAGUUUCUGCAUGUGUACAAAAGUAUUAUAUUUUUUAAAGAAUUUUAAAGCAGAAUAGUUGCUGAAAUGUGCACACAUAAGACAUAAGGCUAUUUACUCCACUAUUAUGUUUCCAUGUUUGCCACCAUGUCACACUAUAGCUGCUGAACCAUAAUCAUGGCACUUUAUGAUCCAUUUAUUUGUCUACAUUUUGAUUUGAAUGUUUGCUUUUAUUGUUUGUUUUUCCUGCCAAGAGCUGCUAAACUGUUUUUUCGUUGU